GACGAACGCUGGCGGCGUGCCUAAUACAUGCAAGUAGAACGCUGAAGAGAGGAGCUUGCUCUUCUUGGAUGAGUUGCGAACGGGUGAGUAACGCGUAGGUAACCUGCCUGGUAGCGGGGGAUAACUAUUGGAAACGAUAGCUAAUACCGCAUAAAAUUGAUUAUUGCAUGAUAAUUAAUUGAAAGAUGCAAUUGCAUCACUACCAGAUGGACCUGCGUUGUAUUAGCUAGUUGGUGAGGUAACGGCUCACCAAGGCGACGAUACAUAGCCGACCUGAGAGGGUGAUCGGCCACACUGGGACUGAGACGCGGCCCAGACUCCUACGGGAGGCAGCAGUAGGGAAUCUUCGGCAAUGGGGGGAACCCUGACCGAGCAACGCCGCGUGAGUGAAGAAGGUUUUCGGAUCGUAAAGCUCUGUUGUAAGAGAAGAACGGGUGUGAGAGUGGAAAGUUCACACUGUGACGGUAUCUUACCAGAAAGGGACGGCUAACUACGUGCCAGCAGCCGCGGUAAUACGUAGGUCCCGAGCGUUGUCCGGAUUUAUUGGGCGUAAAGCGAGCGCAGGCGGUUAGAUAAGUCUGAAGUUAAAGGCUGUGGCUUAACCAUAGUAUGCUUUGGAAACUGUUUAACUUGAGUGCAGAAGGGGAGAGUGGAAUUCCAUGUGUAGCGGUGAAAUGCGUAGAUAUAUGGAGGAACACCGGUGGCGAAAGCGGCUCUCUGGUCUGUAACUGACGCUGAGGCUCGAAAGCGUGGGGAGCAAACAGGAUUAGAUACCCUGGUAGUCCACGCCGUAAACGAUGAGUGCUAGGUGUUAGGCCCUUUCCGGGGCUUAGUGCCGCAGCUAACGCAUUAAGCACUCCGCCUGGGGAGUACGACCGCAAGGUUGAAACUCAAAGGAAUUGACGGGGGCCCGCACAAGCGGUGGAGCAUGUGGUUUAAUUCGAAGCAACGCGAAGAACCUUACCAGGUCUUGACAUCCCUCUGACCGCUCUAGAGAUAGAGUUUUCCUUCGGGACAGAGGUGACAGGUGGUGCAUGGUUGUCGUCAGCUCGUGUCGUGAGAUGUUGGGUUAAGUCCCGCAACGAGCGCAACCCCUAUUGUUAGUUGCCAUCAUUGAGUUGGGCACUCUAGCGAGACUGCCGGUAAUAAACCGGAGGAAGGUGGGGAUGACGUCAAAUCAUCAUGCCCCUUAUGACCUGGGCUACACACGUGCUACAAUGGCUGGUACAACGAGUCGCAAGCCGGUGACGGCAAGCUAAUCUCUGAAAGCCAGUCUCAGUUCGGAUUGUAGGCUGCAACUCGCCUACAUGAAGUCGGAAUCGCUAGUAAUCGCGGAUCAGCACGCCGCGGUGAAUACGUUCCCGGGCCU
Molecule: ribosomal RNA, 1369 nt
Filed under: uncultured bacterium
Lineage: Bacteria
Description: bacterial SSU rRNA
Rfam family: Bacterial small subunit ribosomal RNA
Source: RNAcentral